Small nucleolar RNA from Arabidopsis lyrata subsp. lyrata, 90 nucleotides. It matches the Rfam family "Small nucleolar RNA R72". Rfam says of the family: snoR72 is a C/D box small nucleolar RNA, which acts as a methylation guide for 25S ribosomal RNA in Arabidopsis. Lineage: Eukaryota; Viridiplantae; Streptophyta; Magnoliopsida; Brassicales; Brassicaceae. The record is from Rfam.
UUGCAAAUGAUGAGUUAAUCACCAUUGAUAAAAGAAGCUCAAAUUAUUGAGCAGUGUUGGAAAUCAUAAACUUCCAUGACUCUGAUGCAA